This 330-nucleotide ribosomal RNA is filed under the name Triticum aestivum (bread wheat). Its description in RNAcentral is "partial small subunit ribosomal RNA". Lineage: Eukaryota; Viridiplantae; Streptophyta; Magnoliopsida; Poales; Poaceae. The record is from RNAcentral.
AUGGACAGGCGUGGAUGGGUGCUGGGGUAUGAAUCACCCCAUGUCGAGGCGGCGGUAGAGAAUUUGAUCGAUUUCAUUGAGAAAACUAAAUAUAGUGUCAUAUAUUAUAAUGGAUGGCAUGGGUUGGCUGCUUCUGUGGUGCUUAGAGCUAUUGUCGAAGACCCUCCGCCGUCUCUGAUGAAGAAUUUCGACAAGAUCAUCCACGUCGAUUGCUCGAGGUGGAAAAGUCGAAGAGCACUACAAAGGAAAAUAGCCGAGGAACUGAAGCUUGCUGAAACUGUAAUGGCUAUUUUUGAUAAGCAAUAUGAAAAAGAUGAUUGGAAGGGUUAG